Long non-coding RNA from Biomphalaria glabrata, 1283 nucleotides. RefSeq lists it as uncharacterized. The record is from RefSeq and is a predicted model, not a curated record. The transcript is spliced from 2 exons. NCBI's taxonomy places the organism in Eukaryota, Metazoa, Mollusca, Gastropoda, Planorbidae.
AUGUGCAAAGGUGAAAACAUUUAAAAAACCACAAUAACAACAACUACAAAACAAACUUGAAGAGUGCGCAGAUUGCGUGAUUUCACAUCUGGGUUGCAAACUAUAUUAUACCACGUGACCCAGGCGAAAGAGCCUAUACAUAUAAAUGAGAUGGCAGAAGUAAAGGGAAACUUACCUUAUAGAUCUUGUUUGACGGGAUUCUUUACUGUCAAGGAUUCAAGUGUUUUCUUAGCAGCCUCGCUGGAUUUCAUUUUAAAUUACUUCCAUCGCUCUUAAAGUAUUCAAAGAAAGACAUUGUUCUGUUUCUGUCGUUGCACAAAACAUCAAGUCUUUUUGUGUAGACAAACAUGCAUCAAAUAAUGUUCUCUGCUGCACUUGUCCUGGGAUUGUUGGGUCAAGCUGUUUCUGAAGACCUAAAUACUGCUCUUGCAUCUACAAGUCCACAAUGUCAAUCGAAUAUUACAAACUGUAUAGCCUCAAACACUGCGCUCCAAAAGUUGUACAAUUCAUCCAAAUAUUGUGAAAUCAUUAGAUACUCAACACCAAGUUUCGCUUCUCUGACAUGUCUGGUGGUAGACAGCGGCUGUACUCUGACCGAGUACUUCAGAAUGAGAAAUGCUGCUUGUGGAACAAAUUCAACAACUGGUCUGGAUACUGCCGAAAACGUUGGGAUCGCUCUUGUUUCAAGCAGUCAGCAAUGUAGAUCGAAAGUUAAUAUCUGCAUAGCUUCAGACACCACGGUCAAUAAUUUGUACAUGUCUUCAAAGUAUUGUGAAGCCAUUAGAUACUCAAGUUCAAGUGUCGACUCUCAGACUUGUCUUGUGGUAAACACUGGCUGUUCCCAGAGCGAAUACGACAACUUGAGGACAGCUGCAUGCGGUGCGAGUUCCCUAAUGGUUGGAACUCUAUCUCUUCUAUUAUCUUUCUUUGUUUUUUUAUUGAGCAAACUGUAACGACACUGCCUGGAGACCUAAUUGUUUGUAACCUAUUUAUUCCUAUUAAUGUAGGUCUAAAUAUUGUUUUGAAAUGGAUUAUUCAUAAAUGCUACAUUGAAUAUAUACGCUGUAUUGUCACUAAACAAAAGUUGAGAAAAUAGUUGUAGAUAUAAUAAUACAAAUCAAUAACGUGAAAAAAUAUAGUUGGAAGUGAAAUCUUUCUUAGCGAACAAAACAUCAUAUGAUAAAGUAGAUGGCGUAUUAAGACAAUUUGUUUUGUAUUAGCAAUGUACAUGGUUACAACAUUGUAAGUUAAACAUUACAGUAAAUAAAACGCAAUAACUAAAA